This 467-nucleotide ribosomal RNA is filed under the name uncultured bacterium. RNAcentral's name for it is "partial 16S ribosomal RNA". It matches the Rfam family "Bacterial small subunit ribosomal RNA", at positions 28 to 507 of the family's 1533-position model. The record is from RNAcentral.
GAUGAACGCUGGCGGCGUGCUUAACACAUGCAAGUCGAACGGAAAGGCCCAAGCUUGCUUGGGUACUCGAGUGGCGAACGGGUGAGUAACACGUGGGUGAUCUGCCCUGCACUUCGGGAUAAGCCUGGGAAACUGGGUCUAAUAUCGGAUAGGACCACUUCUUGGAUGUUGUGCAGGAAAGUUUUUUCGGUUUGGGGUGAGUUCGCGGCCUAUCCGCUUUUUGGUGGGGGAAUGGCCUACCAAGGCGUCGGCGGGUAGCCGGCCAGAGAGGGUGUACGGCCGCACUGGGACCGAGAGGCGGCACCGACGCCGACGGUAGGCAGAUGGGGGGAAGAUUGAACCAGGGGCGCCAGGCGGAUGCAGCGAGGCCGCGUGGGGGAAGACGGCCUUCGGGUUGAAGAAACCUUUCGCUAGGGACGAAGCGUUUUGUGACGGUACCUGGAGAAGAAGCACCGGCUAACUACGUG